UUGUUGGUAAGGUAAAAGCUUACCAAGGCUUCGAUCAGUAGCUGGUCUGAGAGGACGACCAGCCACACUGGGACUGAGACACGGCCCAGACUCCUACGGGAGGCAGCAGUGGGGAAUUUUGGACAAUGGGGGCAACCCUGAUCCAGCCAUGCCGCGUGAGUGAAGAAGGCCUUCGGGUUGUAAAGCUCUUUCAGCCGGAACGAAACGGUUACGGAUAACACCCGUGACUACUGACGGUACCGGAAGAAGAAGCACCAGCUAACUACGUGCCAGCAGCCGCGGUAAUACGUAGGGUGCGAGCGUUAAUCGGAAUUACUGGGCGUAAAGCGUGCGCAGGUGGUUUUGUAAGUCAGAUGUGAAAGCCCCGGGCUCAACCUGGGAACUGCGUUUGAAACUACAAGACUAGAGUGUGGCAGAGGGGGGUGGAAUUCCGCGUGUAGCAGUGAAAUGCGUAGAGAUGUGGAGGAACACCGAUGGCGAAGGCAGCCCCCUGGGUCAACACUGACGCUCAGGCACGAAAGCAUGGGGAGCAAACAGGAUUAGAUACCCUGGUAGUCCAUGCCCUAAACGAUGUCAACUAGUUGUCGGGCCUUUACGGGCUUGGUAACGUAGCUAACGCGUGAAGUUGACCGCCUGGGGAGUACGAUCGCAAGAUUAAAACUCAAAUGAAUUGACGGGGACCCGCACAAGCGGUGGAUUAUGUGGAUUAAUUCGAUGCAACGCGAAAAACCUUACCUACCCUUGACAUGUAUCGAAGCCCGCAGAAAAGCGGGGGUGCCCGAAAGGGAACGAUAACACAGGUGCUGCAUGGCUGUCGUCAGCUCGUGUCGUGAGAUGUUGGGUUAAGUCCCGCAACGAGCGCAACCCUUGUCAUUAAUUGCCAUCAUUUAGUUGGGCACUUUAAUGAGACUGCCGG
This 916-nucleotide ribosomal RNA is filed under the name uncultured bacterium. RNAcentral describes it as "bacterial SSU rRNA". It matches the Rfam family "Bacterial small subunit ribosomal RNA", at positions 246 to 1155 of the family's 1533-position model. The record is from RNAcentral.